UACGGAGGGAGCUAGCGUUGUUCGGAUUUACUGGGCGUAAAGGGCGCGUAGGCGGUCGUGACAAGUCACUUGUGAAAUCUCCGGGCUUAACUCGGAACGGUCAAGUGAUACUGUCGGGCUAGAGUCCGGAAGAGGCGAGUGGAACUCCUGGUGUAGCGGUGGAAUGCGCAGAUAUCAGGAAGAACACCAACGGCGAAGGCAGCUCGCUGGGACGGUACUGACGCUGAGACGCGAAAGCGUGGGGAGCGAACAGG
This 254-nucleotide ribosomal RNA is filed under the name uncultured bacterium. Its description in RNAcentral is "partial 16S ribosomal RNA". It matches the Rfam family "Bacterial small subunit ribosomal RNA", at positions 524 to 776 of the family's 1533-position model. The record is from RNAcentral.